Molecule: non-coding RNA, 231 nt
Organism: Pelobates cultripes (western spadefoot toad)
Lineage: Eukaryota; Metazoa; Chordata; Amphibia; Anura; Pelobatidae
Source: the annotation of a GenBank genome assembly
GAGAACUAGUAAGUGCCUGUGACAGGAGUUGUGUAUUAUAUGAGACUUAGGUAAAACAGUUAGAAUAAAAAACAACAAAAAGGUGUAUACAUGCUUCUGCGGCAAUAGCAAAUAGUUUGUAAAUAGGUGUAUGAAAUUAGGUGAUUCCCCUACCAUCAAAUCAGCAAUAUAGUAGAAUAAAAACAAUAGCUAAUGUUUCUUUACAACUGUGAGUACAAGUUUUGAAUUCAC